AAGAGUUGACCAUAUCCCCGUCAACUCUAUUAUUGCUGUAACCUGACAUUAAAAUUUAGAAAAGUUAUCAGCAAUUCAGAUAAUUUAGGUGUGGACUAAAUUAAAACUCACAUGAAAUUUAUUUUUUUCCUUCUUAUCUUUACUUUUAUCAGUUUUUUUUUUGAACAAACUUUUAUCAGUUUUUCUUAUUUCUCCUUUUUUUUGAUAAUUCCUAGAGUAACUAAGAUUCGCUUACAAGGUGUCCAUGUGUGAAUGCAGAUAAAUAAGUAAUUAUUACAUUUAAAAAAUCUAACAGACAUAUAAUUGAC
Molecule: long non-coding RNA, 308 nt
Filed under: Brassica rapa (field mustard)
Lineage: Eukaryota; Viridiplantae; Streptophyta; Magnoliopsida; Brassicales; Brassicaceae
Description: long non-coding RNA (BRAP_LNC003100)
Source: RNAcentral